GAUGAAGAACGUAGCGAAACGCGAUAGUUAAUGUGAAUUGCAGAAUUCAGUGAAUCAUCGAGUCUUUGAACGCACAUUGCGCCCAUUGGUAUUCCGUUGGGCACGUCUGUUUGAGCGUCAUUACAACAGUUCAGCGUAAGCUGGUUAUGAGUUCUGUUUUUUUAAACAAAAAACAGGCUUUAAAAUGUAUGUUCUGCAGGUCGCUUUGCUAAACCCUAAACAUUAAAUACUGUUCUAGUGAAGCAUUUGCGACUCUGCCUGAAAAAAAACUUUUGUUAAAGUUUGACCUCAGAUCAGACAAGGAUACCCGCUGAACUUAAGCAUAUCAAUAAGCGGAGGA
RNAcentral lists this unclassified non-coding RNA (340 nucleotides) under soil metagenome. Its description in RNAcentral is "partial contains 5.8S ribosomal RNA, internal transcribed spacer 2, and large subunit ribosomal RNA". The stretch from base 1 to 120 matches the Rfam family "5.8S ribosomal RNA", at positions 35 to 154 of the family's 154-position model. The record is from RNAcentral.